CUACGUGCCAGCAGCCGCGGUAAUACGUAGGUCCCGAGCGUUGUCCGGAUUUAUUGGGCGUAAAGCGAGCGCAGGCGGUUAGAUAAGUCUGAAGUUAAAGGCUGUGGCUUAACCAUAGUACGCUUUGGAAACUGUUUAACUUGAGUGCAGAAGGGGAGAGUGGAAUUCCAUGUGUAGCGGUGAAAUGCGUAGAUAUAUGGAGGAACACCGGUGGCGAAAGCGGCUCUCUGGUCUGUAACUGACGCUGAGGCUCGAAAGCGUGGGGAGCAAACAGGAUUAGAUACCCUGGUAGUCCACGCCGUAAACGAUGAGUGCUAGGUGUUGGGUCCUUUCCGGGACUCAGUGCCGCAGCUAACGCAUUAAGCACUCCGCCUGGGGAGUACGACCGCAAGGUUAAAACUCAAAUGAAUUGACGGGGGCCCGCACAAGCGGUGGAGCAUGUGGUUUAAUUCGAUGCAACGCGAAGAACCUUACCUACUCUUGACAUCCAGA
Molecule: ribosomal RNA, 492 nt
Filed under: uncultured bacterium
Lineage: Bacteria
Description: bacterial SSU rRNA
Rfam family: Bacterial small subunit ribosomal RNA
Source: RNAcentral